Molecule: RNA transcript, 3863 nt
Organism: Phyllopteryx taeniolatus (common seadragon)
Lineage: Eukaryota; Metazoa; Chordata; Actinopteri; Syngnathiformes; Syngnathidae
Gene: adam15
Gene name: ADAM metallopeptidase domain 15
Exons: 22
Source: RefSeq, a predicted model, not a curated record
GUUCGUGACGGACUUCAGACGACUUUGGACUGCCAGGGACGGAACCGGGCCACACGCAGGUGGACUCGACAUACUUCCGGUUGUGAGGUGCCCCGAGUUCGACGGCAGACGGCCAGUCAGACCAGGUUCGGUUCGGCGCCGUUUCACGCCGUCAACGGAUGUGGCGCUCGACAAACAGGAAGGCAGCCAUGGCGGCGAGAUGAAACAACUUUUUCCGCCACUCUCGCUGCUGCUGCUGAUCAGCGCUGGCGUUGCGUUCACGGACGCCAGGUCCUUGAACCCAACGCACGGCCCGGACACCGCAGGUAGUGUGCGAUGGUGGAGCCCCCCGCUGGAGAGAACUCGACCCUUCGUGCUAGUGGGUGGGCAGAGGCGGAGCCUGAAGGAGGCACUGCAGGACGGUCACCCGGAGCAUCUGCAGUGUGGCCUGGAGGUCAGAGGUGAGGUCCUCGUGUUGGACCUGCAGAAGAACCGCGACCUCCUGCCCAAAGCGCCAAACAUUUUCUUCUACCUCCCCAACGGCACCGGAGUGUCCCUGACGGGCGACCCCGUGACGCAUUGUUAUUACCAUGGGAACGUAAGAGGAUUCCCGAGCUCUCGAGUGGCAAUCAGCACCUGCUCAGGACUCCGCGGCGUGAUCGCCGUCAACGCCUCGCUGAGUUUUGAGGUUCAGCCGCAGGAGCUCCGCCACAAUGGCGAAGGAGGCGAGGCCAGCGCAGGUGGAGGAGAAUAUGUGGGACACCACCUGAUCUUUUCAAGUGGUCCUGUGGCGGACGAGGCGGUGAGGGGCUGCGGGGUGACGCACGAGCGUGGCGACACACGCCGGCACGCCGGCGCUCACGCUCAACACAGAAACAAGCGGGAUCUCCUGUCCGAGACAAAAUACAUCGAGCUGGUUCUGGUGGCGGACCACCAGGAGUUCUUGAACUACCAGAAGAACAACAAGACCAUCAUCUACCGCAUGCUGGAUGUGGCCAAUCAGGUGGACUGGUUCUACCGCCCUCUGAAGGUGCGCGUGGCACUGACUGGUUUGGAGGUCUGGAGCGACCGGGACAAAAUCCGCGUGGAGAAGAACCCGAGCGCCACACUCAACAACUUCCUGCUCUGGCGGACAAGGGAGCUCCUGCCACGCCUUAGUCACGACAACGCGCAGCUCGUCAUGGGCAGUGCCUUGGAUGGCACCACAGUGGGCAUGGCGGCGCAGGCGUCCAUGUGCUCCAGAGACCGCUCGGGAGGCGUCAACGUGGACCACCUGGUCAGUGUUCUGGGCGUGGCGUCCACGGUGGCUCACGAGCUGGGACACAAUCUGGGCAUGAGCCACGACACCCGCGAGCGCCGAUGCCACUGCACCAACCAGCCUCGCAUGGGCGGCUGCAUCAUGGAACCCUCCACCGGGUUUCUGCCGGGUCAGCAGUUCAGCAGCUGCAGCGCGUCCGACCUGUCUGUCAGUCUGCUUCGGGGCGGCGGCAUGUGUCUGUUCAACGUGCCGCCGCCCGAGCGCCUCCUGGGCGGGCCCCGCUGCGGCAACCUCUACGUGGAGCCCGGCGAGGAGUGCGACUGCGGCCUGCUCGAGGAGUGCCAGGACCCCUGCUGCAACGCGUCCACGUGUCGACUGCACCCCGGCGCCCGGUGCUCGGCCGACGGCGUCUGCUGCCAGGACUGCGAGCUGCGGGCGGCGGGGUCCGUGUGCCGGGAGCCCAUCGGAGAGUGCGACCUACCCGAGUUCUGCACGGGCUCCUCCCCCUUCUGCCCGCCCAAUGUCUAUGUUCAGAACGGCGAGCCCUGUGAGGAUGGCGCCACCUACUGCUACAGCGGCGCCUGCGCCAGCAUGCGCACGCAGUGCCAGACGCUUUGGGGACCGAACGCCACCGCUGCACCGGCUGUCUGCUUCUCGUCCGUCAACAAACAAGGAAAUAAAUACGGAAACUGCGGGCAGCUUAGCAACGGGUCGUAUGCCACCUGCGCACACAAGUCAGUCAGACACACUGAGUGUGUGUGUAUGUAUGUGUGUGCAUGCAUAGAUCUUGUCUUGUCUGCUCUGCCAUCCCCGCUGCCCACGUGUGGGGGCACGUCCGUACUUUGCGUGUUGCGUUGCAGUGACGUGCAGUGCGGCAGGAUCCAGUGUCAGGGUGGCCUUGAGCGCCCCCUGCUGGGCACAAACACCGAGAUCCUGACCACCACGGUGCGCUUCGAGCUCCACGACCUGGUGUGCCGCGGGACGUUUUUCCACCUGGGAGACGACGUGUCCGACCCCGCUUCCGUGGCGCAGGGCACCGCCUGCGGCCCCGACAAGGCCUGCUUGGACAACAAGUGUCAGGACGUGUCCGUCUUGGGCGUGGACGAGUGCCGCAGGAAAUGCAACGGCCACGGCGUCUGCAACAGCAACAACAACUGCCACUGCCGACCGGGAUGGGCGCCGCCCGACUGCGCGUAUGCCGGGCACGGGGGCAGCGUGGACAGCGGACCCGCACGCGCCGCCGCAGAGUCGGAUCCGGUCCUGGUGGCCCUGCUGGUGCUCUUCCUCUUUGUCGUGCCAGCACUUCUCCUCUUCCUCGCUCUUCGCCUCCCUCGUGUGCGUCGCGCGUGUUUGACUUUGGGAGACAACAAACUCUUUCGCAAAUCCUCACAUAACCGGACCCCGGCGACGGAGCGCAGUUCAGAGCGCAACGUGGAUCAAGUCCGGCCGCUGAGGUUCCACGUCAACGCCCCCGAGACUCCGCCCCUCAAGGAGCUUCUUGACAGACCUGCUCCUCCCACUAAGCCACUCCCCCCCACCCCUCCACUAAACCCCUCGCCGCAGGGUGGAAUGUUCUAGAUCGGUAACAAGAUGUAGCUCUCUCUUUCAAAAAGGUUGGUGACCCCUGUUCUAGAAUGUUGUAGCAUUUUCUCAAAUAGCGUGUAGAAUGUUGUGUAGUGGCAAGAUGAUCUAAUAGAAUCUUCUAGAAUGUUGUAUCAGGUUCUUAAAUAGUGUGUAGAAUGUAGUCGCAUUCUAGAAUACUGGGCAGAAUGCUAUGUAGUGCUCUAGAGUGUUGUAGAAUGCAGUUGUGCUCUAGAAUGUUGUGUAGUGUUCCAGAGUGUUGUUGUGCAAAGUUUUAGCAUGUUCUCAAAUAGUACGGAAUGUUCCAGAUCAUUACCAAGUAGCUCUCGCUUUCAAAAAGGUUGGUGGCCCCUGUUCUAGAAUAUUGUAGCAGGUUCUUAAAUAGUGUGUAGAAAGUUGUGUAGUGUCAAGAAUGUUCUAGUAUAAUGCUCUAGAAUGUUGUAGCACGUUUUUAGUGUGUAGAAUGUUGUGUAGUGUCAAGAAUGUUCUCAAAUAGUGUGUAGAAUGUUGUGUGGUGUCUAGAAUCUUCUAGUAGAAUGGUCUAGUGUGUAGCAGAAUGCUGUGUAGUGUCGUAGAAUCCAGUUGUGUUGUAGAAAUCUGUGUAGAAUGUUGUGUAGUGUUCCAGAGUGUUGAAGUGGAAAGCUCUACAAUGUUGUAGCAUGUUCUCAAAUAGUGUGUAGAAUGUUGUGAAGUGCCUUGAAUGUUCUAGUAGAAUGUCCUAGAAUGUUGUAACACCUUCUCAAAUAUUGUGUCGAAUGUUGUUGAGGGACUUGAAUGUUUUCAUAGAAUGUUCUAGAAUGUUGUGGCACAUUCUCAAAUAGUGUGUCGAAUGUUGUGUAGUGUUCUGAAAUGUUUUAGUAGCGUAUUCUAGACUGUUGCUGUCGGGUCUGAAAUGUUGGCUAAUUUGUUGUUGUGACUUCAGCGUCCGGCUCCGCCUACAAAGCCUCUUCCACCCGCCCCUCCCACCAGAGGUGUUCAGCCGCUAGCAAGCCAACCAGCUCCGCCCACUAAGCCCCUCCCCCCUGACCCCGUGCCCCCGAGUCAG